UGUAAAUUAAAGUAAGUUUUUAUUCAAAGCAACUUUUAAAAUUACAGCAUGUUUAUUCUUAUGCUGUUAACUCUGCCAAACUACAACUUAGCCAUAUGAAGCAUAAAACACUUCAAAAAUUUGAAUGUAAACCACAUUUUUAACACACCUCAAAUUUUAGAUGCCAAUGUAUUUUUCCAAAUAUAUAGCUUAUAUCAAAAAAGGAACAUUUUAAAUAUUUCUAUAGUAAAUAAUUGUAAUAAUUUCUUAAAACUUCCAAUUAUACAAAUAAAAAAUGUUUGUGAAUAUAACUAUUAUAAUUGACAAAAGCUGACAGGAGAAACAAACAAAAACUCUUACUUUUGAAGGCCUUAAAUUUUAUUAUGUGUGAACAGGCAAAUAUUUGUAUUUUUUAAAUUCCUACUGCAUUUCCUUCUUUAGGUAAGUUCAUUAAAUUUCCCAAAACCAAUGAAGCUUUUUAUAGUUCAUUUAAGUCAUAUUUGAGAGGAAAAAUUCUAGAGAAAAAUGUUGAAACCUAAACCAAGAAAAUUCAGAUGCUAUAGUCUGUGCUCAUAAGUGCUCCAAGUUAAAAUUCUAUAUACCAGAUUACAAAAAAAAAAUUCUUAGACCAUUACAAAUAU
This 620-nucleotide long non-coding RNA is filed under the name Bos taurus (domestic cattle). RNAcentral's name for it is "long non-coding RNA NONBTAT024773". Lineage: Eukaryota; Metazoa; Chordata; Mammalia; Artiodactyla; Bovidae. The record is from RNAcentral.